GAUAAAAUGGCUGAAGAAAGGUAAUAAAUUGUAAAUUUAUUUAUGAGUAUAACUCUUUUAUCAA
Molecule: transfer RNA, 64 nt
Filed under: Neopsylla sellaris
Lineage: Eukaryota; Metazoa; Arthropoda; Insecta; Siphonaptera; Ctenophthalmidae
Description: tRNA-Tyr
Source: RNAcentral